GAAGCCGCAGGCUCUGGUUUUCAUGCACCCCAGAACCCUGCUUGCUUGGGCUUAAAGUUGGACAAGCCCACGAGGAGGCCACCCUGGCCAAAAACCCCUCUGAGAAGGCUGUAGUAUUCGGUUCUGUCAAACACUUUGAGUUUCACGGAAAUAAUCUUCUUUUGCCAAGUCUGCCCGUGCCGUGAAGGUGCUGAAAGAGUGUAUCCGCCUGAAGCCGGACGACGCCACCAUCCCUCUCCUCGCUGCCAAGCUCUGCAUGGGCUCCCUGCACUGGUUGGAAGAGGCUGAAAAGUUUGCCAAAACUGUCGUUGAUGUGGGAGAGAAAACGUCAGAGUUCAAGGCCAAAGGCUACUUAGCUCUGGGGCUCACGUACAGUCUGCAGGCCACUGACGCUUCUUUGCGAGGGAUGCAGGAGGUCCUACAGAGAAAGGCGCUUCUUGCAUUUCAGAGGGCCCACAGCCUGUCACCCACAGAUCACCAAGCAGCUUUCUACCUGGCUCUGCAGCUUGCCAUCUCCAGACAGGUC
This 526-nucleotide small RNA is filed under the name Pongo abelii (Sumatran orangutan). RNAcentral's name for it is "retained intron". The record is from RNAcentral. Lineage: Eukaryota; Metazoa; Chordata; Mammalia; Primates; Hominidae.